Long non-coding RNA from Rosa rugosa (rugosa rose), 2660 nucleotides. RefSeq lists it as uncharacterized. NCBI's taxonomy places the organism in Eukaryota, Viridiplantae, Streptophyta, Magnoliopsida, Rosales, Rosaceae. The transcript has 3 exons. The record is from RefSeq and is a predicted model, not a curated record.
UUCAUUAAACAUCCAGUGCUCACUUAUUCAAGUAAGCCUAUCAACUAUGAUAGAACUAGGACAUAGUUAUAGGCUAAUGCAAAAUAAAAUUACACUUUUUCCUUGCCCUUCACGCUAGGGCUUGGAGGUUUUCCCGAGUACAGGACAUUGAGAACAGCUUCUGCUGGCACUUUAUUGGCUUUUGGUGGGUUCUUGUUCUUCGAUCCGAGAGGCCUGCCUCUCUUCUUCUUCUUGUACUCCACCAUGGUGGUUUCUUUUGGGACAGUAGCUGUGAGCCCCCGAAAAUUUUGUUUAAUUUUUAAAGGUAAUGUUUUUGCCAAUAAGAUUUUUCACCAGGUGAUUUAAGUGAAGAAAUUUACCUUGGAGAUCAAUUCGGUGUCGAGACUUCGAUUUGGGCCUUAUAAUUUAAGUCUGAGCCAGAGUCCUUCGUUUUGGGCCCAGAAGGUUACAGAAGUUUAGUGAGACGACAAUUUGUUGAAUUUUCGAAGACGAUAAAUCGAGUUGUAACAAAGUUUUGGAUUUUGAGUUUUUACAAAAUCGAGUUUUGGGCUUAGUACGAAGUCGAGAAUUAAAUUAGGAAGUUUCCGACGAAAAAUGAAUAAAAGAAAAGUUACGAGCCUCAAACUGAAAGCUUUUAGCUAGAGGAGUUUUAUAAUUCGUCGGAAGGGUAAAAUUGGUAUUUCACGGACACAAGUAUAAAUAGAAAGUAUCCUAGGAGAAAACCCUAGAAUCCCAUUCUCUUCCUCUCUUCUCUCUCGGCUGCAUCGCUCUCUCUCUUCCCCGACCACUCUCUUUCUCGUCCUCCCACUGUAGCGCCGGAAAACCCCAUCUCCGGCCACCACCUCGCAAAACCACCACCUCCAAUCGAUCCAGCACCCAAAUCCUACCCAAGCCCAAGCCUCACCAUCGACAUGCACCGCCUCCGGACUCCACCCGCGACCACCCAAGGCUGCGACGCUGCUACCUCUCAACCUCCAUUGAUUUCUGGCCGCCUUUUCAAUACAUCGCCGCCUCCAGUGAGCUCAGAGAGCACCGACCAUCAAGCGCCCAGCAUCCUAUCACCAAAAUACUUCGGAAGCACAUCGCCGGAAAUCGAGCUCUGCAUGCCUUCGUUCUUCAAUCUCCAGUCCGAGACGAGCCAAACCACCACCAUAUAUGGAGUCAGCAUCUCUCCCUUGACCAAAACCCCAUAACCCCAACCUCCGACUCCGACCAGAGCCGCCGUACGGGCUGCACACGCCGCCGCUAACGCUUGGACCACCGUAGCUCCGCCGCUCACAGUCGCUAAGCCUUCAGAUUGUCUCUGUUAGGUAAUUUGCGUUGCCCUAUUCUUGGUUGAGGCCUCCAAUUCGAUUUAGAUUAAAAACCUAAUUUCUGUUGCGAAAUUUGGAUUGUGUGAGGUUUGGAGAAUCUGGGUUUUUGGGCUUGAAGAGGAGAGCCUGGAGCUGAGGUUUCGAUUGAGUCACCCUUGAAGAAGAAAUGGGGUUCGAAUGGUUGAUGGUGUUUUGGUGCAGCCAUGUUAAAUCGACUUCUAGUUUUGGAUAGAAGAAUGGUAAGGGACUGCAUCUUGGAUCUGUUUGGCUAUGUUCUUUGUAGUGGUCGAAAAGUGUAUGGAUAUGUUGUUGAGUAGAUUGGAAUUGAUCGGAAAUUGUCUUGAUUGAUUUAAUUAGGAAAGUGGUUAAUGUUGAAUUUGUGAUGAUUAAGAGCAGUUUGUUCAAGACGGUAAGCAAUGACAAUGUCUAUAACUAUCAUUUCGGAUACUAAAGGAUACUACGGUUGUAAGAAAAGAAGUGAGUUUGUUAUUGAUAAAGAAAAUGUAAAUUGCUCAAGUUCAUAAGAAAUUGGUAGCCGAAAUGAAGUUAUAUUGAUUAUUGAUUAUUGGACCGAUCUUAUUAAGAAAUCCGUUUUGUAAGUACAUUGACAAUGAAAAAGGGAAAUUAAGGAAGCUAAGGUAUACCAAGAAAAUAGAAAGGUCUAACGAGUUGACCUAAAAAUUUAAUUAUGGAUCAUUGAUUUGUUAAAUUAUCCAUGUCCCGAAAAUUGAGAUAAAUUUAUUUAAUGGAAUGUUCGGGAAUGGAAAUUGUCAAUUGUUUUCUUGAAGUAAAAGGUUAAAGAAAUGAAGGUCAAAGUGUUAAGUAUAAUGGCCAUAUAUAUCUUAAAUGGUUCAAAUGCCAUAUCAUUUGAAUUAUUUGGGAAUGGAUAAUAGGCUUUAUCUAUUAAAGAGGAAUUCGUUAGAUUUCAAAGAAAUUAAAUCAAAGUUUUGGUUGUUCGGUUAAUACGCUAUGAUAAUGUGAAGUUACUCAUUAGUUUGAAUUUAUUUCAAAGGACUCGAGCUUGUGCACAUGGAAUUGGACGAAGUAUCCAAAGUCGGAAAUGAAGCUAAGUUUGGGCGAGCACUCCAAUUCCAGUGUGCAGGUUUCGAGCAUGUGGUCGGGGAGCGUACAGAGGAGGCACAUGGCCCGGCUUGGCGCAUUCUUCUUUAAUUUUAUCAAAAGAAGGUUUUGGUCCUUUAUCGGAUUUUGAAGUAGCUUGUUUGUUUACUUUUUAUUUAUUUCCUACUCGUUAACCAAAACUUCGAGAGGCCCGUAACCCUGGGGCGCGUCUUUCUCACUUGUAGAUACUUAGUGAUUUGUUUUCCAAAUUGGGCUCCGAUUGUAAGC